CGUAGGGCGCGAGCGUUGUCCGGAUUUAUUGGGCGUAAAGAGCUCGUAGGCGGCUUGUCACGUCGACUGUGAAAUCCCGCGGCUCAACUGCGGGUCUGCAGUCGAUACGGGCAGGCUAGAGUUCGGUAGGGGAGACUGGAAUUCCUGGUGUAGCGGUGAAAUGCGCAGAUAUCAGGAGGAACACCGGUGGCGAAGGCGGGUCUCUGGGCCGAUACUGACGCUGAGGAGCGAAAGCGUGGGGAGCGAACAGGAUUAGAUACCCUGGUAGUCCACGCUGUAAACGUUGGGCGCUAGGUGUGGGGGACCUCUCCGGUUCUCUGUGCCGCAGCUAACGCAUUAAGCGCCCCGCCUGGGGAGUACGGCCGCAAGGCUA
Molecule: ribosomal RNA, 373 nt
Filed under: uncultured organism
Description: bacterial SSU rRNA
Rfam family: Bacterial small subunit ribosomal RNA
Source: RNAcentral